RNAcentral lists this ribosomal RNA (253 nucleotides) under uncultured bacterium. Its description in RNAcentral is "partial 16S ribosomal RNA". It matches the Rfam family "Bacterial small subunit ribosomal RNA", at positions 524 to 776 of the family's 1533-position model. The record is from RNAcentral.
UACGAAGGGGGCUAGCGUUGUUCGGAAUCACUGGGCGUAAAGGGCGCGUAGGCGGCUUGACAAGUCAGGUGUGAAAGCCCCGGGCUCAACCCGGGAAUUGCACUUGAUACUGUCUCGCUAGAGUCCGGGAGAGGAUGGCGGAAUUCCCAGUGUAGAGGUGAAAUUCGUAGAUAUUGGGAAGAACACCGGUGGCGAAGGCGGCCAUCUGGACCGGUACUGACGCUGAGGCGAGAAAGCGUGGGGAGCAAACAGG